CUUCAAAAUUACAUGCAAUCAAAUAAAUUUUUUUAAUAAUUACGGUAAUUUCUAUUACAACCAAUCAAAUAAAAUGUAUAUAGUUGUAACUUAUAACUGUUGCUUUUCUAAUUACAUACAUCUCUAAGUGUAUUAUAUUUCUAAUUAUAUACAAACAAACGGUCUAUAAUUCAGGAGCAUUUUUCGCAAAAUGCACAAAAAAUCUACAGAUAAAUAAUCAUAUUGAACUAUUAGUGCAACGACCCGACCCGUUAGCAACAAUAACUCGUUGGGCCAAACCACCGGCCAUCAGGACCAUUACCAGACGAUGUGAGAUUCUAGAGGUGGCUCCUACGGGUUCAAGAGGUGGCUCCCACCAAAUCCGUUGGUGUAGCACCUUGUCCCGCAUAGCACUUAGGGUGCGUUUGGUUCGAGUUAUUCUGAUAGGAUUACAGGCAAUUCUGUUGGUUAAUCCGCUAUGUAAUCUAGUCGUUAAUGUAAAAUUACAAAUCGAGUAGGAGUACAUUGAAAAUAUUAAUGGGAGGGGGGUCGUGUAUCUUGCAUUACUGAAACCCGUUAAUAAUAUAUAUUAUGUAAAAUGACAAUUUUAUCCUCCAACAACCCCAAAUCUAAUUAACAGCAUUAUUUUCAUCUCUCUCUCGCCUUCCCCCCUCUCUCUCGCACACCGCUUUCUCUCUCUCAACUGAACCAAACGUAUUAAUGCUAUAAAUACUGUAAUCUAGUAUUACAUUACUGCAGCAUCAGUAGUAAUCUCAUAAACACUGUAAUCUAGUAUUACAUUACUGCAGCAUCAGUAGUAAUCUCACGUCGAAAUCCAAGAUACCUGGAUAUGUCGAUAUACUCGGCUGGUAUUCGGCUCUAAUACCAUUUACAACGACCCGACCCGUUAGUAACAAUAACUCGUUGGGCCAAACCACCGGCCCAAAAUGCUUAAGCCGGAUUAUUAUUACUAGCGUGUAGGUCUCAUAUAAACUGAUCGGAAUUAGUAUCACAUCCGAUGUGGAACUAUUGGAGCGUUACAACUAGAAAAUAAAAAAAAGUUUCAAAAGAAGUACCAAAAUUAAAUAUC
This 1069-nucleotide long non-coding RNA is filed under the name Ananas comosus (pineapple). Its description in RNAcentral is "long non-coding RNA (ACOM_LNC008347)". The record is from RNAcentral. Lineage: Eukaryota; Viridiplantae; Streptophyta; Magnoliopsida; Poales; Bromeliaceae.